This 512-nucleotide ribosomal RNA is filed under the name uncultured bacterium. RNAcentral describes it as "partial 16S ribosomal RNA". It matches the Rfam family "Bacterial small subunit ribosomal RNA", at positions 28 to 523 of the family's 1533-position model. The record is from RNAcentral.
GACGAACGCUGGCGGCGUGCCUAAUACAUGCAAGUCGAGCGAACCAAUAGGAGCUUGCUCCUGUUGGUUAGCGGCGGACGGGUGAGUAACACGUGGGCAACCUGCCUGUAAGACUGGGAUAACACCGGGAAACCGGUGCUAAUACCGGAUAAUCUUUUUCCUCUCAUGAGGAAAAACUGAAAGUCGGUUUCGGCUGACACUUACAGAUGGGCCCGCGGCGCAUUAGCUAGUUGGUGAGGUAACGGCUCACCAAGGCGACGAUGCGUAGCCGACCUGAGCGGAUGAUCGGCCACACUGGGACUGAGACACGGACCAGACGCCUACCGGAGGCAGCAGUAGGGAAUCUUCCACAAUGGACGAAAGUCUGAUGGAGCAACGCCGCGGGAGCGAUGAAGGCCUUCGGGUCGUACAGCUCUGUUGUUAGGGAAGAACAAGUACCGGAGUAACUGCCGGUGCCUUGACGGUACCUAACCAGAAAGCCACGGCUAACUACGUGCCAGCCGCCGCGGUAA